GAUGAAGAACGUAGCGAAAUGCGAUAAGUAGUGUGAAUUGCAGAAUUCAGUGAAUCAUCGAAUCUUUGAACGCACAUUGCGCCCCUUGGUAUUCCAUGGGGCAUGCCUGUUCGAGCGUCAUUUGUACCUUCAAGCUCUGCUUGGUGUUGGGUGUUUGUCUCGCCUCUGCGCGUAGACUCGCCUCAAAACAAUUGGCAGCCGGCGUACUUGUUUCGGAGCGCAGCACAUUUUGCGAUCCAGAUCAACGUACAGCGGCAUCCAAGAAGCCUUAUUUAACGCUCUUGACCUCGGAUCAGGUAGGGAUACCCGCUGAACUUAAGCAUAUCAAUAAGCGGAGGA
RNAcentral lists this unclassified non-coding RNA (339 nucleotides) under soil metagenome. RNAcentral describes it as "partial contains 5.8S ribosomal RNA, internal transcribed spacer 2, and large subunit ribosomal RNA". The stretch from base 1 to 120 matches the Rfam family "5.8S ribosomal RNA", at positions 35 to 154 of the family's 154-position model. The record is from RNAcentral.